CAACUCGACUACAUGAAGCUGGAAUCGCUAGUAAUCGCGAAUCAGAAUGUCGCGGUGAAUACGUUCCCGGGUCUUGUACACACCGCCCGUCACACCAUGGGAGUCGGAAAUGCCCGAAGUCAGUGACCUAACCGAAAGGGAGGAGCUGCCGAAGGUGGAGCCGGUAACUGGGGUNAAGUCGUAACAAGGUAUC
Molecule: ribosomal RNA, 193 nt
Filed under: uncultured bacterium
Lineage: Bacteria
Description: partial 16S ribosomal RNA
Rfam family: Bacterial small subunit ribosomal RNA
Source: RNAcentral